Molecule: ribosomal RNA, 549 nt
Filed under: uncultured bacterium
Lineage: Bacteria
Description: bacterial SSU rRNA
Rfam family: Bacterial small subunit ribosomal RNA
Source: RNAcentral
UAGGGAAUCUUCGGCAAUGGACGGAAGUCUGACCGAGCAACGCCGCGUGAGUGAAGAAGGUUUUCGGAUCGUAAAGCUCUGUUGUAAGAGAAGAACGAGCGUGAGAGUGGAAAGUUCACACUGUGACGGUAUCUUACCAGAAAGGGACGGCUAACUACGUGCCAGCAGCCGCGGUAAUACGUAGGUCCCGAGCGUUGUCCGGAUUUAUUGGGCGUAAAGCGAGCGCAGGCGGUUAGAUAAGUCUGAAGUUAAAGGCUGUGGCUUAACCAUAGUACGCUUUGGAAACUGUUUAACUUGAGUGCAAGAGGGGAGAGUGGAAUUCCAUGUGUAGCGGUGAAAUGCGUAGAUAUAUGGAGGAACACCGGUGGCGAAAGCGGCUCUCUGGCUUGUAACUGACGCUGAGGCUCGAAAGCGUGGGGAGCAAACAGGAUUAGAUACCCUGGUAGUCCACGCCGUAAACGAUGAGUGCUAGGUGUUAGACCCUUUCCGGGGUUUAGUGCCGUAGCUAACGCAUUAAGCACUCCGCCUGGGGAGUACGACCGCAAGGNU